AUACUCUGGUUUCUCUUCAGAUUGUACAAAUCUUUCACCUUUUACUAAAGAUUUCCAUGGAGAGAAACAACUCUUAAGUUUUUACCCAAUUUUUUGAGGCCUUCCAUUUGCAGGGCU
Phyllostomus hastatus (greater spear-nosed bat) is the source of this 117-nucleotide small nuclear RNA. RefSeq annotates it as U5 spliceosomal RNA. The record is from RefSeq and is a predicted model, not a curated record. NCBI's taxonomy places the organism in Eukaryota, Metazoa, Chordata, Mammalia, Chiroptera, Phyllostomidae. The transcript has a single exon.